This 585-nucleotide ribosomal RNA is filed under the name uncultured bacterium. RNAcentral's name for it is "bacterial SSU rRNA". It matches the Rfam family "Bacterial small subunit ribosomal RNA", at positions 40 to 605 of the family's 1533-position model. The record is from RNAcentral.
CGAACGCGUCUUGGUCAAUGAAGUUGAGUGCUUGCAUUUAACUGAUUUCACAUUAAGACGAGUGGCGAACUGGUGAGUAACACGUGGGUAACUUGCCCCGAAGCGGGGGAUAACAUUUGGAAACAGGUGCUAAUACCGCAUAACAACAAAAACCACAUGGUUUUUGUUUAAAAGAUGGUUUCGGCUAUCACUUUGGGAUGGACCCGCGGCGUAUUAGCUAGUUGGUGAGGUAAUGGCUCACCAAGGCAAUGAUACGUAGCCGACCUGAGAGGGUAAUCGGCCACAUUGGGACUGAGACACGGCCCAAACUCCUACGGGAGGCAGCAGUAGGGAAUCUUCCACAAUGGACGAAAGUCUGAUGGAGCAACGCCGCGUGAGUGAUGAAGGGUUUCGGCUCGUAAAACUCUGUUGUUGGAGAAGAACGGGUGUCAGAGUAACUGUUGACAUCGUGACGGUAUCCAACCAGAAAGCCACGGCUAACUACGUGCCAGCAGCCGCGGUAAUACGUAGGUGGCAAGCGUUGUCCGGAUUUAUUGGGCGUAAAGCGAGCGCAGGCGGUUUUUUAGGUCUGAUGUGAAAGCCUUC